Molecule: ribosomal RNA, 441 nt
Filed under: uncultured bacterium
Lineage: Bacteria
Description: bacterial SSU rRNA
Rfam family: Bacterial small subunit ribosomal RNA
Source: RNAcentral
AACGCGAAGAACCUUACCUGGGCUUGAACCGCUACUGACCAACGGUAGAAAUAUCGUCUUCCCGCAAGGGACAGUAGUAGAGGUGCUGCAUGGCUGUCGUCAGCUCGUGCCGUGAGGUGUUGGGUUAAGUCCCGCAACGAGCGCAACCCUUAUUCGUAGUUGCCACCCGCAAGGGGGAACUCUACGAGGACUGCUCCGGAUAACGGAGAGGAAGGUGGGGAUGACGUCAAGUCAGCACGGCCUUUAUGUCCAGGGCUACACACGUGUUACAAUGCGCGGCACAGACUGUUGCGAACCCGCGAGGGGGAGCUAAUCGGAAAAAACCGCGCUCAGUUCGGAUUGCAGUCUGCAACUCGACUGCAUGAAGCUGGAAUCGCUAGUAAUGGCGUAUCAGAUCGACGCCGUGAAUACGUUCCCGGGCCUUGUACACACCGACGCGUA